This 75-nucleotide transfer RNA is filed under the name Nitrososphaerales archaeon. RNAcentral describes it as "tRNA-Val". It matches the Rfam family "tRNA". From Rfam's summary of the family: Transfer RNA (tRNA) molecules are approximately 80 nucleotides in length. Their secondary structure includes four short double-helical elements and three loops (D, anti-codon, and T loops). Further hydrogen bonds mediate the characteristic L-shaped molecular structure. tRNAs have two regions of fundamental functional importance: the anti-codon, which is responsible for specific mRNA codon recognition, and the 3' end, to which the tRNAs corresponding amino acid is attached (by aminoacyl-tRNA synthetases). tRNAs cope with the degeneracy of the genetic code in two manners: having more than one tRNA (with a specific anti-codon) for a particular amino acid; and 'wobble' base-pairing, i.e. permitting non-standard base-pairing at the 3rd anti-codon position. Lineage: Archaea; Thermoproteati; Nitrososphaerota; Nitrososphaeria; Nitrososphaerales. The record is from RNAcentral.
GGGCCGGUCGUCUAGCCUGGUUAGGACAUCGCACUGACACUGCGAAGGUCAGUGGUUCAAAUCCGCUCCGGCCCA